AAAUUGAAGAGUUUGAUCAUGGCUCAGAUUGAACGCUGGCGGCAGGCCUAACACAUGCAAGUCGAGCGGUAGCACAGAGAGCUUGCUCUCGGGUGACGAGCGGCGGACGGGUGAGUAAUGUCUGGGAAACUGCCUGAUGGAGGGGGAUAACUACUGGAAACGGUAGCUAAUACCGCAUAACGUCGCAAGACCAAAGUGGGGGACCUUCGGGCCUCAUGCCAUCAGAUGUGCCCAGAUGGGAUUAGCUAGUAGGUGGGGUAACGGCUCACCUAGGCGACGAUCCCUAGCUGGUCUGAGAGGAUGACCAGCCACACUGGAACUGAGACACGGUCCAGACUCCUACGGGAGGCAGCAGUGGGGAAUAUUGCACAAUGGGCGCAAGCCUGAUGCAGCCAUGCCGCGUGUGUGAAGAAGGCCUUCGGGUUGUAAAGCACUUUCAGCGGGGAGGAAGGCGAUAAGGUUAAUAACCUUGUCGAUUGACGUUACCCGCAGAAGAAGCACCGGCUAACUCCGUGCCAGCAGCCGCGGUAAUACGGAGGGUGCAAGCGUUAAUCGGAAUUACUGGGCGUAAAGCGCACGCAGGCGGUCUGUCAAGUCGGAUGUGAAAUCCCCGGGCUCAACCUGGGAACUGCAUUCGAAACUGGCAGGCUAGAGUCUUGUAGAGGGGGGUAGAAUUCCAGGUGUAGCGGUGAAAUGCGUAGAGAUCUGGAGGAAUACCGGUGGCGAAGGCGGCCCCCUGGACAAAGACUGACGCUCAGGUGCGAAAGCGUGGGGAGCAAACAGGAUUAGAUACCCUGGUAGUCCACGCCGUAAACGAUGUCGAUUUGGAGGUUGUGCCCUUGAGGCGUGGCUUCCGGAGCUAACGCGUUAAAUCGACCGCCUGGGGAGUACGGCCGCAAGGUUAAAACUCAAAUGAAUUGACGGGGGCCCGCACAAGCGGUGGAGCAUGUGGUUUAAUUCGAUGCAACGCGAAGAACCUUACCUGGUCUUGACAUCCACAGAACUUAGCAGAGAUGCUUUGGUGCCUUCGGGAACUGUGAGACAGGUGCUGCAUGGCUGUCGUCAGCUCGUGUUGUGAAAUGUUGGGUUAAGUCCCGCAACGAGCGCAACCCUUAUCCUUUGUUGCCAGCGGUUCGGCCGGGAACUCAAAGGAGACUGCCAGUGAUAAACUGGAGGAAGGUGGGGAUGACGUCAAGUCAUCAUGGCCCUUACGACCAGGGCUACACACGUGCUACAAUGGCAUAUACAAAGAGAAGCGACCUCGCGAGAGCAAGCGGACCUCAUAAAGUAUGUCGUAGUCCGGAUUGGAGUCUGCAACUCGACUCCAUGAAGUCGGAAUCGCUAGUAAUCGUAGAUCAGAAUGCUACGGUGAAUACGUUCCCGGGCCUUGUACACACCGCCCGUCACACCAUGGGAGUGGGUUGCAAAAGAAGUAGGUAGCUUAACCUUCGGGAGGGCGCUUACCACUUUGUGAUUCAUGACUGGGGUGAAGUCGUAACAAGGUAACCGUAGGGGAACCUGCGGUUGGAUCACCUCCUUA
This 1540-nucleotide ribosomal RNA is filed under the name Klebsiella pneumoniae. Its description in RNAcentral is "bacterial SSU rRNA". It matches the Rfam family "Bacterial small subunit ribosomal RNA". The record is from RNAcentral. RNAcentral also lists the same sequence under 4 other names. Lineage: Bacteria; Pseudomonadati; Pseudomonadota; Gammaproteobacteria; Enterobacterales; Enterobacteriaceae.